AUCCAAACAUAACAUUUGUACUGUAUAUUCUUAUGACUUAACUAUAAAGAGAGUAUUCAGAACUCCUUUUCAGUCCACUCAGCAGAAUGAAUUGUAUGCAAUCAUUCUAGCUAGCUCUUACUUAUUAUCCAUGAGAUAUUAAUAUAAUAUCUGAUUAGCCUAUUCAGUAGGUUUGGUACAGAGAAUUGCCACAGCCCAAAUAAAAUUUGUAGCCUGUAAUAUAUAUCAGCUCUUUACGGAACUUAAAGAGCAAGUGAGAAAGCAUCCAGGUAAGAUUUAUAUCUUGCAUGUCCAAGGAUCCUAUAAGGAAUAGGGAUUUGGGAUAUAUUUGGGAUAGUAAUUCAAAGGCAGAUAGCCUUCUAACCAUGUUGGCCAAUACUCCUUUAUUUCAGGCAGCCCAAGAAUAUCAUUCUAAAUAUCAUCAGGCUGCUCAAACUUUACGCUUACAAUUUGGAAUAACAAGAGGAAGGUAGGAGCAUAGUAAAAACCUGUACAGCUUGCCUUCCUUUCUAUGCUCCUACACUGCCUCCGUGGAAGAACCCUCGUGGUUUGAGACCCAAUGAAAUUUGGCAAAUGGAUGUGACCCAUUAUAAAUCUUUUGGUCGUUUGUCUUUUAUCCAUGUUGUGGUAGACACUUUUUCAGGAUUGCAAAUGCAAUACCAGCAGCAAAAGAAACAGCCCAAGUAGUCACUGAAUUCCUUAUACAAGCAUUUGCAAUCAUGGGUGUGCCACAAGCAAUGAAAACAGACAAUCGACCUGUAUAUACUUCUAAACAUUUUGCACACUUUUGUGCACAGUAUAAGAUUUUACACGCCAUUAGCAUACCUUUUAAUCCUCAAGUACAGACAGUAGUAGAGAGGAGAAACAGAGACAUUAAGACGCUCCUCCAAAAACAAAAGAAAGGGUUCAGGCAGCCCAGAAUCUCAUUCUAAAUAUCAUCAGGCUGCUCGAGCUUUAUGCUUACAAUUUGGAAUAACAAGAGAGGAAGGUAGGAGCAUAGUAAAAACCUGUACAGCUUGCCUU
Molecule: long non-coding RNA, 1023 nt
Filed under: Sarcophilus harrisii (Tasmanian devil)
Lineage: Eukaryota; Metazoa; Chordata; Mammalia; Dasyuromorphia; Dasyuridae
Description: lncRNA (ENSSHAG00000029364.1)
Source: RNAcentral